Molecule: long non-coding RNA, 820 nt
Organism: Cyclopterus lumpus (lumpfish)
Lineage: Eukaryota; Metazoa; Chordata; Actinopteri; Perciformes; Cyclopteridae
Exons: 2
Source: RefSeq, a predicted model, not a curated record
CCAUUGCUCUUCUUCUACACUUUUAAAACUAAAAGAAGAUAAGGAGGACAAAGUGCACGGAGAUGUUUGUUCAGGCGGAUAGACGAAUGGACUUCAUUUACAAGUAAAGGUUGGAACCAACAUGCCACGUUAUCUACAGAGUCCAGAAGGCUGAGCCCGUUGUCCUGCUGUGGGAGACGAGCAGCUUCCAGACGUCUCUUCAGGAGCUGGUGGACGAGAUGCCGGCUCAGAGUCUCCUGUCCUCAGACUCCAGAGGACAUCUUUCAUGCUGCUGGAGCUCCAAAGGUCGUGGACACGUCCUCCUCCAUGCUGUCUGUUCAUUGGUUUGGUUUCAAUGUUCUCCAUCCAGUGAGGAGUUUGGUAGUAAAAGCAUCAUUUUCAUAUACAUAUAUAAUAUAUAUCCACGUAUAAUAUAAAUAUAUUAUUUAGAGUGAAGAUAUAUGUUGGUAUUUGUUAUUGCUGGUGGUCAACGGACAUGACACGUUGACUUGAUGCCGUUUUUGAUUUGUUUCAUGUUUUGUACGACAAAAUAUCUUUGUGGCAAUUUAAAAAAGCUACAACUUUUUGCCAAAACACAAAACAGAAAAAUAAUUUUUGGUGGAAUUGUUUACUCGUUAUGAAGAUGAAAAAUGAGAGCACUGGCGUAAAAACUUACGCUAAUUAUUAUGAAUCAACUACCCAAAAGGGAAAUAUAAAAACUAUAACAUUGUAGUGUAUAAAAGAAUCAACCAUUAAAGUUCUGAUUUAUAACCCAAUAUGAAUAUCAUAACGUGGUGUUUGCUGACCCAGUAGUUUUUAAUAAUAAAAAGACAUAUUGAGA